AACGAACGCUGGCGGCAUGCCUAACACAUGCAAGUCGAACGAGAUCUUCGGGUCUAGUGGCGCACGGGUGCGUAACGCGUGGGAAUCUGCCCUUUGGUUCGGAAUAACAGUUGGAAACGACUGCUAAUCCCGGAUGAUGACGAAAGUCCAAAGAUUUAUCGCCAGAGGAUGAGCCCGCGUAGGAUGAGCUAGUUGGUGUGGUAAAGGAGCACCAAGGCGACGAUCCUUAGCUGGUCUGAGAGGUUGAUCAGCCACAAUGGGACUGAGACACGGCCCAGAAUCCUACGGGAGGCAGCAGUGGGGAAUAUUGGACAAUGGGCGAAAGCCUGAUCCAGCAAUGCCGCGUGAGUGAUGAAGGCCUUAGGGUUGUAAAGCUCUUUUACCCGGGAUGAUAAUGACAGUACCGGGAGAAUAAGCUCCGGCUAACUCCGUGCCAGCCGCCGCAGUAA
Molecule: ribosomal RNA, 449 nt
Filed under: uncultured bacterium
Lineage: Bacteria
Description: partial 16S ribosomal RNA
Rfam family: Bacterial small subunit ribosomal RNA
Source: RNAcentral